AAUUUGGGCCUGAUUUGUAUC
RNAcentral lists this small nuclear RNA (21 nucleotides) under Arabidopsis thaliana (thale cress). RNAcentral describes it as "snRNA_06609". Lineage: Eukaryota; Viridiplantae; Streptophyta; Magnoliopsida; Brassicales; Brassicaceae. The record is from RNAcentral.